AUUAUUGGAAUUUAUUCGACGAUAUAUUGGAUAUCCGUCGACAUUUGUGAUCGUAUCGUUAGUGAAAUCUUUAGGGAUAAUUUUAGUACAUUUUCCAUCUGGCAUGCAAGGCGAUGAACGAUUAAGAGUACCGCAUGAGCCAUGAAUCAUGUUUGCUGUAACAAUAUCAAACAGCAGUUGGUCAGUGGACGGAUCUGGAAUUUCCGCAGAAAUGAUACUAUCGAUUUCUUCAGGACGGAUUUUGUCGAUUAACCAAACCAAAAUGUGUGCAUGAGGUAAUCCUCGCUUUUGCCACUCAACCGAAUACAGCCAGCAACGUGUGG
Non-coding RNA from Cinara cedri, 323 nucleotides. The record is from the annotation of a GenBank genome assembly. NCBI's taxonomy places the organism in Eukaryota, Metazoa, Arthropoda, Insecta, Hemiptera, Aphididae.